GAUCAUACCUGGCAGGGGAGACACCAUGAUCACAAAGGCGGUUUUCCCAGGGCGAGGCUCAUCCAUUGCACUCCGGGAUGUGCUGACCCCUGCGAUUUCCCCUAAUGUGGGGAAACUCGACUGCAUACUUUGUGGUAGUGGGGGGACUGCGUUCACGCUCUCCUCUU
This 167-nucleotide small nuclear RNA is filed under the name Echinops telfairi (small Madagascar hedgehog). RNAcentral's name for it is "U1 spliceosomal RNA (ENSETEG00000023358.1)". It matches the Rfam family "U1 spliceosomal RNA". From Rfam's summary of the family: U1 is a small nuclear RNA (snRNA) component of the spliceosome (involved in pre-mRNA splicing). Its 5' end forms complementary base pairs with the 5' splice junction, thus defining the 5' donor site of an intron. The record is from RNAcentral. Lineage: Eukaryota; Metazoa; Chordata; Mammalia; Afrosoricida; Tenrecidae.